This 165-nucleotide ribosomal RNA is filed under the name Camellia sinensis. RNAcentral's name for it is "5.8S ribosomal RNA". It matches the Rfam family "5.8S ribosomal RNA". Rfam says of the family: 5.8S ribosomal RNA (5.8S rRNA) is a component of the large subunit of the eukaryotic ribosome. It is transcribed by RNA polymerase I as part of the 45S precursor that also contains 18S and 28S rRNA. The record is from RNAcentral. Lineage: Eukaryota; Viridiplantae; Streptophyta; Magnoliopsida; Ericales; Theaceae.
UAAAUGACUCUCGGCAACGGAUAUCUCGGUUCUCGCUUGGAUGAAGAAAGUAGGGAAAUGCAUUCCUUGGUUGGAAUUGCAGAAUCCCGCGCACCAUCGAUUCUUUGAACGCAAGCUGCGCCCGAUCCCAUUCGGUUGGGGGCACGCCUGCCUGGGCGUCCCUCG